This 393-nucleotide ribosomal RNA is filed under the name uncultured bacterium. RNAcentral's name for it is "partial 16S ribosomal RNA". It matches the Rfam family "Bacterial small subunit ribosomal RNA", at positions 523 to 918 of the family's 1533-position model. The record is from RNAcentral.
AUACGGAGGACGCGAGCGUUAUCCGGAUUCAUUGGGUUUAAAGGGUGCGCAGGCGGCCGUGCAAGUCAGCGGUGAAAGCCCGAGGCUCAACCCCGGAAGUGCCGUUGAUACUGCAUGGCUGGAAUGCGGUCGAGGCGGGCGGAACGUGGGGUGUAGCGGUGGAAUGCGUAGAUAUGCCACAGAACGCCGAUAGCGGAGGCAGCUCGCCAGGCCUGCAUUGACGCUCGGGCACGAAAGCGUGGGGAUCGAACAGGAUUAGAUACCCUGGUAGUCCACGCCGUAAACGAUGGGCGCUCGUCGUCGGCGGCAGACAGUCGGCGGCCAAGCGAAAGCGAUAAGCGCCCCACCUGGGGAGUACGGUCGCAAGGCUGAAACUCAAAUGAAUUGACGGGG